RNAcentral lists this ribosomal RNA (261 nucleotides) under uncultured bacterium. RNAcentral's name for it is "partial small subunit ribosomal RNA". It matches the Rfam family "Bacterial small subunit ribosomal RNA", at positions 26 to 286 of the family's 1533-position model. The record is from RNAcentral.
AGGAUGAACGCUAGCGGCAGGCCUAAUACAUGCAAGUCGGACGGGAUUCGGGAGCUUGCUCCCGAUGAGAGUGGCGCACGGGUGCGUAACACGUAUGUAACCUACCCUUAUCAGGGGGAUAGCCUCUCGAAAGAGAGAUUAAGCCCGCAUAACAUCACGAUGCAGCAUUGUAAUGUGAUCAAAUAUUUAUAGGAUAAGGAUGGGCAUGCGGAACAUUAGCUAGUUGGUAAGGUAACGGCUUACCAAGGCGACGACGGGUAG